This is a non-coding RNA of Acanthosepion pharaonis, 112 nucleotides long. Lineage: Eukaryota; Metazoa; Mollusca; Cephalopoda; Sepiida; Sepiidae. The record is from the annotation of a GenBank genome assembly.
UUACGGCCAUUUCACGCUGAAACACCAUUUCCUGUACGAUCACAGAAGUUAAGCAACGUCGAGCCUGAUCAGUCUCUAUAUGGGUGACCGCUUGGGAAUACCAAAUACUGUC